RNAcentral lists this long non-coding RNA (681 nucleotides) under Varroa destructor (honeybee mite). RNAcentral's name for it is "uncharacterized LOC111255361, transcript variant X1". Lineage: Eukaryota; Metazoa; Arthropoda; Arachnida; Mesostigmata; Varroidae. The record is from RNAcentral.
GCUGAUGAAACGAACCUCAGACGAUUAGGGCUAGUGGUCGUCAUAAUUCAGAGAUUGAGAAUUCAGAACGAAAACGAUGUUGAUAGUUGACGGAUAGUCAUGAGGCUGGACGCAAAAGGAAACGUCACAAAAACAAGUGUUAGAGGUAGCAAAGCGAUGGGAAAAUCAAACGUUUUCCAAACAAGACUAAGAAUUCCCUAAGCAAAAAAUCUUCGAACGCCGUGGAUUGUUCGAUUCUAUAGCUGAAUCGACGUGACAAAUUAGCGGGCUGAUGCUGUGCCCUUUAAGAGCCAAGAAGAAGUUUUGCAGAACGAUCAUGGCCAAAAAAAAGCAUCCAUCGGCUCGACGUCGACUUCAGUACUCGGCCUAAGCAACGCUUUCGAAGACCAUUACAUCUAUUUACCAAGAGGAAUUUUUGAGAAACCUAACAAAGUUACAGGUCCUGUGACAUUGGUCACAGCGUCAUUAUCUCAGUAAUCCUCGUGCAUCGUACAAUCCCAAGACUAACUGCAAGGCAUGCGCAUUCCACCAUUGUCGCACGAUCUUAAGAAUCUUGUCUGAAAACAUCUGACAGGAUCAAGAGGACAACUAACCGAUGGGUAUCCGAAGUUUUUCCUUGGCGAGCACCUCGUGCGCGCUGUACGCCAGUGCUCCGAGAGCCCCCACUAACACCCAGUGCAG